UGGUGUUAGACGUGUCAGAAAAUAUUUUAUACGAAAAAAAAAGAAAUAUUCGAAUAUUUAAUUGAAUAAUUUUUAAGGAGAUAAAAGGAUCACGAGCAUACCACAUCAAUUUAUUUUCAAAUUUCGGACGACGAAAUUAAUUUUUCAACUAAUUUUUAUUUUCCUAUUGUUUGGAUCGCCGAUUCCUCUGUGAAUCGGCGCUGUCCAUGAACAAAAGAAGAGGAAAACUCCAAUCUCAAAUUAUCUGUAUUGGUCCCAAAUUUCCUUAGACAUCAAUCCCCUAAUUAUUAUAUAAUCGGUCCCAAAGACCAAUUGAUGCUUUUUAAAGGCGGAUAUUGAAAUUUUUGAUUCUACUAAUAUCAAGACCGGAGUCUUCUAAUCGAUGGUUUGAUUAGAGCUCAAUGAACCCAAAAUUGACCUAAAACCCUGACUUGUCAAAUCAAUACAUCAAAUGCUAGAGUCUUCCCGUCCAUAGUUUUAUUGAAGCCCAAUGGACACAGCAUUUCCCUAUUACCCAAUUGUGUCAAUUAAAGAAUUCUGGGGAUUCUCAUUCUUUUUCAAUAGGAGAUAAAACAAGAAUUAUUUAUAGUAUAUACAUUUAGCUUAUUUUCCCCGUUAUUACAUACAAGACAAUUAUUAAAUUUAUAUGUUACUUUGGUGCACGAGCAAAGCAAAUUUGAAGCCUUAACUUUUAUAACCACCCAGAACUUUAUCAAUUUCAAAUCCCACGUCUGAAGGCCUAGGACAUCAUGGAUAUUAGCUGGGUGGGGACACUUCGCAAUGAACGAAUUCGUGCCACUGUAGACUAUGAUGCUGAACGCGUUCGAAUCCUGGCAAGAACAUCGAACAAAGCGGUGUUUAUCCCUUCUUAAUGUUGGCGACAUUUGCGAGUACAAUGGUCAUUUAAAAAAUUGUCCACAAAGAGGUGUCGCACUGCUGGACGCCGUUGGGACUCAGCUAUCAAAAAGGUCCCUUAUCAUUGAGUUUAAUAUCAAAAUUCGUGCCACUGUAGACUAUGAUGCUGAACGCGUUCGAAUCCUGGCAAGAACAUCGAACAAAGCGGUGUUUAUCCCUUCUUAAUGUUGGCGACAUUUGCGAGUACAAUGCCAUACAUGGUCAUUUAAAAAAUUGUCCACAAAGAGAUGUCGCACUGCGGGAUGCCGUUGGGACUCAGCUAUCAAAAAGGUCCCUUAUCAUUGAGUUUAAACUUGAAU
This is a long non-coding RNA of Stomoxys calcitrans (stable fly), 1214 nucleotides long. RefSeq lists it as uncharacterized. The transcript has 3 exons. NCBI's taxonomy places the organism in Eukaryota, Metazoa, Arthropoda, Insecta, Diptera, Muscidae. The record is from RefSeq and is a predicted model, not a curated record.